RNAcentral lists this small nuclear RNA (107 nucleotides) under Rhinopithecus roxellana (golden snub-nosed monkey). The record is from RNAcentral. Lineage: Eukaryota; Metazoa; Chordata; Mammalia; Primates; Cercopithecidae.
GUGCUCACUUGGGCAGCGCAUAUACUAAAAUUGGAACCAUACAGAGAAGAUUAGCAUGGCUCCUGCGCAAGGAUGACAUGAAAAUUCAUGAAGUGUUCCAUAUUAAA